GGGGGGGGGGGGGGGGGGGGCGGAGGGGGGGGGGGCGAGGGGGGGCUUCGGUUCUAGCGGCGGACGGGUGAGUAACGCGUGGGAAUGUGCCCUUCUCUACGGAAUAGCCCUGGGAAACUGGGGGUAAUACCGUAUACGCCAUAUUGGGGAAAGAUUUAUCGGAGAAGGAUCAGCCCGCGUUGGAUUAGGUAGUUGGUGGGGUAAUGGCCUACCAAGCCGACGAUCCAUAGCUGGUUUGAGAGGAUGAUCAGCCACACUGGGACUGAGACACGGCCCAGACUCCUACGGGAGGCAGCAGUGGGGAAUCUUAGACAAUGGGGGCAACCCUGAUCUAGCCACGCCGCGUGAGUGAUGAAGGCCUUAGGGUUGUAAAGCUCUUUCAGCUGGGAAGAUAAUGACGGUACCAGCAGAAGAAGCCCCGGCUAACUCCGUG
This 433-nucleotide ribosomal RNA is filed under the name uncultured bacterium. RNAcentral describes it as "partial 16S ribosomal RNA". It matches the Rfam family "Bacterial small subunit ribosomal RNA", at positions 38 to 507 of the family's 1533-position model. The record is from RNAcentral.